RNAcentral lists this ribosomal RNA (415 nucleotides) under uncultured prokaryote. RNAcentral describes it as "bacterial SSU rRNA". It matches the Rfam family "Bacterial small subunit ribosomal RNA", at positions 505 to 918 of the family's 1533-position model. The record is from RNAcentral.
GUGUCAGCAGCCGCGGUAAGACAGAGGAGGCUAGCGUUGUUCGGAAUCACUGGGCUUAAAGCGGGUGUAGGCGGCCUGGCAAGUGUCGUGUGAAAGCCCCCGGCUCAAUCGGGGAAUUGCAUGGCAAACUGCCAGGCUUGAGGUCGGUAGGGGUGCCUGGAACUCUCGGUGGAGCGGUGAAAUGCGUAGAUAUCGAGAGGAACGCCGGAGGCGAAAGCGGGGCACUGGGCCGAUUCUGACGCUGAGACCCGAAAGCGUGGGGAGCAAACAGGAUUAGAUACCCUGGUAGUCCACGCCGUAAACGAUGCACACUAGGUGUCGGAGGUUCUGAUGCCAUCGGCGCCGUAGGAAAACUACUAAGUGUGCCGCCUGGGGAGUACGGCCGCAAGGCUAAAACUUAAAGGAAUUGACGGGG